RNAcentral lists this long non-coding RNA (6646 nucleotides) under Danio rerio (zebrafish). Its description in RNAcentral is "uncharacterized LOC108179599 (LOC108179599)". The record is from RNAcentral. Lineage: Eukaryota; Metazoa; Chordata; Actinopteri; Cypriniformes; Danionidae.
GUGAGUGUUUGGGCACGAGAGGACGGGUGUGUGGGAGUGUGCAUGCUAUGACUGCAGAGCUGGACUUUGAGGCCUGGCUUGAGCUUGAAUUUCACCCUCUAUGCAACUGCUGAAUAAGACAAGCCUGCAAAUGGACAUGCACAAGAAACAAGAAGAAAUCAUGUUUAUUUCAUCUAUAUUCUGCACUAUGGAUCUGUAUUCUGUUUGCAUAACGAAAACUGUGGACUGUAAUUGUCUGAAAAUGAAUGGCAGCUUGGGCCGGGCUGGUGCACUGCUCCCAGAGUUAGUUAAGUGCUAAACUAAAAGUGCUUGACAACACUACAGGGAGCUGCAAAUCUACAAGCCCAAAAUGAGAAGAAAAACAAAUAUAUUUUCUGAACUAUGGAUUACUAUUAUUUUUGUAUGGAGAAGAAGUCAUGAUCGGAGCAUGGUAGGAAAAUUUUCAUUUCAAUAAACAUUUCUCUUGGAAUAUCUCUGUUAGCAUUCUACUGCUCAGUUUCACACCUAAAAUCAUGGCUGCGUCACUCUCUGGCCGAUUGAGUGAGCCUUGGCAUCAUGUCAGAUUGUAAGAGUACAGUGGGCAGAAUGAUGACCUUUGGACUUUUCAAACAACUGCAAUUCUGUUUCAGUGCUACGCUUGAAGCCCUAAAUAUAAAAGUCUUGUUUAAAAAUACCAACUAAAAAUACUAACUUAACAGUAGAAAACCUGAAAUAUGUUGUUGCACUGAAUGAAUCAGAUUAAAUGAAACCCCAACCUCCUCUUUUAAGUCCUGAUGCCUUGUGGUUUAAUGUUGUGUGCCACUAGACGACAUUUACCUGAAACAAUUACAUUUUCCAGGAAAUUCCAGCCUUUAUAUCCAUCAUACCAAACAUAUCAAAUCAAACAGAUGAAAAAACAAAGUAAUCUCAUUCAUGACUUAGGUCAAAAAGGGGAUUUAAAAAUGUGUAGCUUGUACUCAUCCAUUUCUGUUGGAAAGAAAGCAUAAACAGAAGCUUUUUUUUCCCCUUCGGAUGGGAAACUUUAAUGCUAUAAGUGGAUUUUAUUCCACAAAAUAGGGAUUUCGUUUCAGAAAGCCAAUUGUCUGAAAGAGUAUAUAACGGGCCAAUGAAAUGCAAAAGCUUGCAGCGUAAGCUUGCUCACGUGUGCCUUAUUGACAAUUAGCUCCGCAUAUAGGCACAGGGAAAGCAAGGAAACGCCAUCCUUUUCGCUUCAGACUAUUACAGCCUUCUAAGAGAGUCGAUGAGGGUUCCUCCUGCUGUGAACCAGCUAUUUCGAGCGAACGAAAGCAUGCUCCCAGUCCAGAAUGUGUACACGCAUCGGCAGACGAUCGAGCUGGGUUUCUCCCUUGCCUGGCGUUCUUUGGGUCCGGUCCUCCAGAGCAGUGCGUAUAAAGUUGCUACUUUACUGUUACGUAAAGUUAAAGUCGUACUGUUUCAGAUAAAAUCUCUUCAAAGUGGUUCAUAUUCAACUCAAAUCAGUUGCGGCGCCGCGCGCACUGUUUGCUUGAGUCUCAAAAAACGCAACGCCAGCCGAAAUCAUGCCCUAUGCACCCAAAGCGAACCUCCGCAAACUCCGCGAUGAUGACACAUUCGCCGCAUGCACUCAAGCGGACACGUCGAGUAUAAACCAAAGUCCGCCUUCUUGACUCCCCCAUAUCCCAAGCUUGCCUGUUCGGUGACACCGUCUGCGAAUUCAGUGUUGUCGUGCACCACGGGAAAAAGCUGAUUCUAACGGUGUCCGAAAUAAAGGAGGGCAAAAGCUAGAGCCUUUAUUCUGUGUGUUUACAUAGUUUAAUGGAUGAAUGAAUAAUAGAAACACAUAGACCGCUAAAAUUUUGGAGGGAAUGUGGAGACAACAUUAAAAAUAUAAUUUUUUUUACUUUCUUACUUACAUUUAUGAACAGAAAAGUUUUUUCAUAAUUCAAAAAAUAACCAAAUAAACUCCUAUUUCUCAUCUCGCGCGCACAGAUCUGCUUGAACAACACAGGAAUACAUUAUAUCGGCAGUUUGCAUACCCUCUAGUCGCAGGAGUUCAAAUAUUUUGAUGGAUCUGCAGCUCAAUUCGGAUCCGAAUUUUCCGCAAACGGAGAUGGUCAGAACUCAACGCAGCUCCCGGACUGCUCUCCAUUGGAAAUGAAUGACUUCCGGUCUGUCACUUGUUGUUUGUCGUGUGCAGUGGAAAGGAGGCUUCAGAGGCGCUAGGCGAAUUAAUCCACCCCGCCCCCCUCUCUAAUGCCCUCUUAGGAUCUCGCCCUCGUUCUCACGAGGCUACGUCAGAUCCCUUCGAUCAUCGACUCAGUAUCUUUAAGAUUUCUGUCCCUGAAGACAGCUCUGCUGGUCGCGUUGAUAACGAUUUAGAGGGUCGGGGACCUCGAGGGAUUUUUUAGUCAGUGACUCGUGCCUGUAAUUUGGGCUGGCUUACUCUCCCGUUUCUGAGACCCCGCCCAAGGUUACUACCACACCGUUUUAAGACCAGAUAGUGAGCCUGCAAGCGCUGCCCCUUGGAGGAGGCAGACCCAGCCCUUUUCUUACUGUUUCCAGUUCGUGCUUUGCGUAUUAAUCUGGACCGCACUCAGAGCUUAGAUCAUCUGAGCAGCUCUUUGUCUGUUAUGGCGGUCGGCAGCAGGGAAGUGCCAUAUCAAAACAAAGGUUGGCCCACUGGAUAGUGGAUGCCAUCUCCCUGGCUUACCAGAGCCAGGGCGAGCCGUGUCCCCCGCGAGUGCAUCCGCACUCUACUCAGAGCGUCGCAUGCUCUUGGGCGCAUGCACGCGGCGCCUCUCUAACAGACAUCUGUAGAGCUGCGGGCUGGGCGACACCUAAUACAUUUGCAAAUCUGCGAGUGGAGCCAGUUUCCUCAAGGGUAUUAGGUAACCCUUGGUGAUUGAGGAAACAACUCGGUAAAGGUAUUGAAACACGCUUGCUGCACCAUUCUCCCUAACAUGGAGAUACGUGCGCUUUUUCAUCUGUCAGUAAAGUUCCCCGUUAGGGGAGCCCUGCAGAUUCCUCCGAGGCCCCCAGCACUGACUCAGCGGAGGAGUCACUCGCUGGCUCAUUACGUUGUAGGUCUGCCCGCUGGUCAGCCCACGUUUUGGGCGGACCCGUGUCUUCCCUCUCUCCUAACCAUCUUAUUAUAUGCGUACUCCCCCUUCUUAGGGCUAGUCCAUAUAUUUUGCCAUCAUAUCUCCCCAUUGGGUAGCAGGUGGCCUCUGCAGCGUCCUCCCUAUCGGGACUGCAUGCUUUCCUAACGUACUGUCGAAUUUUCCAAGAAUUAUCUAGACGCUUGAGACUCCCAAAAAUAUAUCUAAAUCCGUAAAACUUCUUUGAAGUGGGAUAAGGUAGGGCCAGGGAUCACGUUGGAAGGCCUCGCCUGUCUUUGAUGCAGGAGCGCCCACGCUAUGCCUGGCUAUCCUCUCAUCGAAGCGAAGGUAAGGUGCUGUCAUUAUGGCAUUUUCCAGACAUUUCCCCAUUUCAUGGAUUAAAAUCCACUUAUAGCUUUGAAGUUUCCCAUCUGAAGGGGAAUGCUCUGGUUACCAAAGUAACCCUAUAUAGCAUCACCAUAAUAAUUGUUCCUUAGCUGUAAGUGUCAGUCUCUUCAGCUUAAAAGGAUGGCGUUUCCUUGCUUUCCCUGUGCUUAUAUGCGGAGCUAAUUGGCAAUAAAGCACACGUGCGCAAGCUUACGCUGACAACUCAUUUGGCUUUUCAUUAGCCCGUUAUAUACUCUUUCAGACAAUUGGCUUUCUGAAACGAAAUCCCCAUUUCAUGGAUUAAAAUCCACUUAUAGCAUUUCCGUUCCCCUCCUUGGGAACCAGAGCGUUCUUCUUUCUGGUGUGUGGGCUGAAGACAGUGGUCAAGUGAUUUAUUAAAAUUUACUCAAAUCAAAGCACUUUUAUUGUCACAUUAUCAGUAGCAUGUGUACUAUGAUGAGUGAAAAGCUUAGGUGCUGGCUCCAGACAGUGCAAAAUACAGACAGUGCAAAUACAACGACAAAAAACAAAACAAAAAAAAACACAGGACACUGUAAGAUUGACAGCGAUAUGUACAAUGAAUAGGUGUCCUCUUUCAGUGCUGUGAAAAUCAUGUCAUGCAUGAGGUAAUCUGUCACUUGCAUGACUGUUUAAAGCAGCUACCACAUUUUAUUGAAGUAAAAGGAAUGACACCGCUUUGACUACGUGCCAGUGGAGGUGAAUCAUAACCUAAACAUCUUUUCAAACAAGAUUAAAAGGGUUACCCAUGGGAAUUAUAGCAAGUUAUCUGCUAAUGAAAUCCGUGUGAACAGAUUACAAAUCAGCACUUUUUCAGUUAUCAUAUUGGUUAAAUACAGAGCUGAAUACCGCACAUAAAUUACAAAUACCUACAAUUAUUCCUGAAUUUGAGUAAUGCACUGCACCAGUGUUAUUAUUGGACAGUCAAGUCAUUGUAUAUAUUGGAUUAUUCACUUGUUUAUGGGACCGAAAAAUUUGAUUUUCUAGAUUAGUUAAGCACCACUGAGUUCUCACCUCAGCCUUAGAUCAUAUACCAUUCUAUGAUUAACAUUAUUUCUUAAAGGGGUCAAUUACUGUUUUAAAGGCUUGAUUGUGUUUAUAUGGUGGGCUGUCAUGCAUUUUUAUUUACUUUUUAAUUGCAUUGAUUUGCAUAUAGUUUUAACCUUUAUUUAAGGGUGCGUAUGUUUUUUUUAUAUUCUUCUGGAAAGUUGUAAUUGUCAAGCUCUAAACCAUGGGUGCCCAAUUUUUUUUUUUUUUUAUGAAGGGUCAAAAACCAAACUUGACCAUGAGGCCGUGAGCCAAAGGUAAAUAUAUCAAACCGAAUUACUAAGUUGCCAUGAUUAAUUUCCUAAUUUAUUUUAAAAUAAUUUGAAAACAUCACUUUAAUCAUAUUAACCAAAGCAUUUUAUAUAUUUUUUACUAUUUUAUAAUGAAGCUACUGUAAUGAAAACAUAGGAAUUCAAUGUAUAACACAAGGGAGUUUAAUGCCAAGCCGCACCUGUCUAUUCCUUGAUUUGCUGACCGUUGACUUUUGUAAAUUUUGCUCUAUCCGUUGUGCAACAGUGUUCAAUCAAAUUAGAGAUGAUAAUAUUUUUUAAAGGGCAUCAUGGUUGUGCAGUGAGUAGCAUGAUCGCCCCACUUCCUCAUAAAUUCAGAGUGAGUGCACUGACGUCUGUGAGUAGAGCAGGAAUGUUGCUUGUCACUGUGUCAGACAAGGCUCUAGUACAGUGCCAUUUAAAGUCAUACUUUCCUGUUCUGUGAAAGCUGAAGCAAUACAUGAGGUGAUCUGUCACAUGAUUGUCUGUUUGAUGAGUGGUGUUUUUAAAGCAAUUUACAGCUACAGCUUGCUAAAACAGCUGAGAUUGUGCUAAAACCACACAAUUACCACGAAGAUGCAACUAAUUUGCAUCUAGUUUGCAUUUCCAAGAAUUAAACUGAGAGUCAAUGUCAUUCUUCAAAACAUAAUACUGUGUAAUUGGUUAACAGCUACAAGGUGGACAUCAUUAAAAAAAAAUCAGCUGUCUUACAAAACUGUUUUUUGUUGCUAACGAUUACAUGUAAAGAAAACAUGUCGGCAUGUAGGUCAUCAGUCAGGUCUACCAUGGGGUGUGUGAGGACAGUUCUUAGUUAAAAGACUUUCUCACUCACAGUUAACAUUAAUGCAACACUCUGUAAACACAACCCUCAAUUAGAUGAACCCUAUGCUGCUCUUGUCUUCUCAGCAGCCACACUACAGUUUAAAUAAUGUCUGAGCUGUUAAUUUAAAAACAAGCUUUUUCAGGAGUAACUGGAGUCCCUCAUGCAGAUUUUGCAAAUAGACAGGGGUCUAACGUGUUUUAAGACAGAUUACAAAGUAAAUACAAUUUAUUACAAAGAGUAAUAUUAUGUAUGACAAUAGUUAUUAAUUGUGACACCCAUAGUUCUCACCCUCAUCAACCACCUUUUAUCAAUCCAGCGUUCAAUCACCUGCAUACUAAUCACCUGCACCCAGGGCCGGUGUGUCCAUAGAGGAGACCAGGCGGCCGCCUAGGGCGGCAGAAUAGAGAGGGCGGCGUCCGCAACACUACCCUCACCACCCGCACACUCAGAUAUAUCCGCGUCUAUGGCGGCAGAAUAGAGAAGGCCGCGUCCCCAACACUACCAUCACCACCCGCGCCCUCAGUUAUAUCCGCGUCUAUAUAGAUAGAGAGGGCGGUGAUAGCCGAUACCUUCUGAUGUUCCACUAAACAGACAUUGAAAUCAGAUGUUUAUCUAGCGAACUGUUGAUGAGAUUGCUCACACCACUGAUUCAUGAAUAAAACCCUUAAAAGAUAACCAUCCUUGUUUUUCGUGUGUGCCAGCGUGACAUUAAUACCAUGACAAAUGCUUUUAUUCUACACAUUUGAUGCAAAUCUGUCUGAUACACAUCAACAAAGUAAAUCAACUACAGUUCAGAUGAGUAAGAAGCUACAGGAAAGCAUAAAGUUUUUUUUUCUUUUUUCUUCUUUAACCACAUUUUGCUUAUUUCCAGUAAGUCCGCCCAGUUCUUUAUAAAGCCCCUAUAUACAAAAUGUUUGCUAAAAUGAACAAAACAAUAGAUUGACUGUUGUUACUGACAAUGAGAAAAAAAGAGAUGUCCAUGGUAUGGAAUAAAAGGAAAGAAUUACUGAAAAUUAUGUCCAGGG